Molecule: long non-coding RNA, 1077 nt
Filed under: Anser cygnoides (Swan goose)
Lineage: Eukaryota; Metazoa; Chordata; Aves; Anseriformes; Anatidae
Description: lncRNA (ENSACDG00005006209.1)
Source: RNAcentral
AUGGGUUUUUCUGUAUUCCUGGUCUAUGGCUGCAACAGGUGGCCGAGGCCUGAGCUUCCCCCACCCUGCCAGGGCAGGCCAGGGGCACAAGCAGCAAGCAAUGCGGGACGUAAGGAAAGCUUUAUGUCCUGCAUGUCCUACACCGAGCGGACUACAGCAGCUCACUUCUCCCGGAAGGAGCAGAAACCCUUACGAAACGCAGCACCAAGCCACUCGUCACCUUACGCUGUACUUUCUUCCCACCCCGUGCUGGCCCAGCGACUUGUGGCCGCCUUCACCAAAUCCAAAACCCCAAAAAUCCCCCGAACCCGUCGCCUCCCUGCGCCCCCCUCCCGGGACGCCCGGGACGCCCGGGCUGCGGGCAGCGGCCGCGGGGGAAGCGGCCCCAGCGGGACGGGCCCCGGAGCCGUGGCAGGGCCGGCGCUGGGGCUCGGGGCUCGGAGGGGGUCACGACGCCGCCCCGCAGCCUCCCACCCCCCGCCGCCGGCUCCUACCGGCAGGGCACGGACGCAGUCACCGAGCCCCGGCCUCCCCCGGCUGGGAAGCGAAAGCGAAAGCGGCCGGGCCGCCAUCGCCGGAACCCGGUGUCCGCCCCGGCCUCCUCCUUUCCUUCCUUCCUCCCUCCCUCCUUCCCUCCGUCCCUGCCUUCCCUCCUUCCCUCCCGGCCCCGGCGGGUCCCGGUUCCCCCGCCGCGGCCCCUCACCAUGCGGCGGCUGGGCCCGGGGCGCUGGCAGGGAGCUGGCUGGGCUCCCCCCCCCCCCCCGCAGCGGGGAAGCGGCUCUGCCCCGCCCGCCACGCACACGAGGCACAAACACACACCAGGCACACCCGCACACCGCACACAAACACACCGCGCACACGCCCGCACUCCCCUUCGCCUCCGGUUUGCCCCCGAGGUGGGCGAGGGAGCCGCAGCCAAGCAGGGCAGGGGCCGGGGCUCGCCCCGCUGUCAGCCCCGCGAGCAGCAGCGGGGCUCCGGGGCAGGAGCUCGCCGCGGGAGGGAGGUUAAAUGGCUGCUUCUGGAAGGCGGCCACGGGUCGCCUGGUGACCCCCACAUAUUUUAAGAGCUUUUCUUAA